AUUCCAGCUCCAAUAGCGUAUACUAAAUUUGUUGCAGUUAAAAAGCUCGUAGUCGAAUAUAGGUUGUUUGGAUGCGCGAGCACUCUUGUUUAACUUGAGAUGCUUGCGCCCGUUAGCCGCCCUUGUGGGGUUCGAUGUUCUUGGUUAUCAAGAACACUCAAUCGAUCCCACACAUUACUGUGAACAAAAUAGAGUGUUCAUGGCAGGGCAUUAGGGCUUGAAUACCGCAGCAUGGAAUAAUAGAAAAGGACUUCCGGUUCGAUUUUAUUGGUUUUUGGAGCCGAAGUAAUGAUUAAUAGGGACAGUUGGGGGCACUCUUACUCCGUUGUCAGAGGUGAUAUUCUUGGAUUCACGGAAGUCGAACAACUACGAAAGCAUCUGCCAAGGAUGUUUUCAUUA
RNAcentral lists this ribosomal RNA (399 nucleotides) under Eukaryota sp. RNAcentral's name for it is "partial small subunit ribosomal RNA". It matches the Rfam family "Eukaryotic small subunit ribosomal RNA", at positions 582 to 975 of the family's 1831-position model. The record is from RNAcentral.